This 635-nucleotide ribosomal RNA is filed under the name Penicillium toxicarium. RNAcentral's name for it is "eukaryotic LSU rRNA". It matches the Rfam family "Eukaryotic large subunit ribosomal RNA", at positions 1 to 649 of the family's 3401-position model. Lineage: Eukaryota; Fungi; Ascomycota; Eurotiomycetes; Eurotiales; Aspergillaceae. The record is from RNAcentral.
GUUGACCUCGGAUCAGGUAGGGAUACCCGCUGAACUUAAGCAUAUCAAUAAGCGGAGGAAAAGAAACCAACAGGGAUUGCCCCAGUAACGGCGAGUGAAGCGGCAAGAGCUCAAAUUUGAAAGCUGGCCCCCUCGGGGUCCGCAUUGUAAUUUGCAGAGGAUGCUUCGGGAGUGGCCCCCAUCUAAGUGCUCUGGAACGGGCCGUCAUAGAGGGUGAGAAUCCCGUAUGGGAUGGGGUGUCCGCGACCAUGUGAAGCUCCUUCGACGAGUCGAGUUGUUUGGGAAUGCAGCUCUAAAUGGGUGGUAAAUUUCAUCUAAAGCUAAAUAUUGGCCGGAGACCGAUAGCGCACAAGUAGAGUGAUCGAAAGAUGAAAAGCACUUUGAAAAGAGAGUUAAAAAGCACGUGAAAUUGUUGAAAGGGAAGCGCUUGCGACCAGACUCGCCUACGGGGUUCAGCCGGUAUUCGUACCGGUGUACUUCCCCGUGGGCGGGCCAGCGUCGGUUUGGGCGGCCGGUCAAAGGCCCUCGGAAUGUAACGCCUCUCGGGGCGUCUUAUAGCCGAGGGUGCCAUGCGGCCAGCCCGGACCGAGGAACGCGCUUCGGCACGGACGCUGGCAUAAUGGUCGUAAGCGACC